CCUUUGACGUUAGCGGCGGACGGGUGAGUAACACGUGGGUAACCUACCUAUAAGACUGGGAUAACUUCGGGAAACCGGAGCUAAUACCGGAUAAUAUUUCGAACCGCAUGGUUCGAUAGUGAAAGAUGGUUUUGCUAUCACUUAUAGAUGGACCCGCGCCGUAUUAGCUAGUUGGUAAGGUAACGGCUUACCAAGGCGACGAUACGUAGCCGACCUGAGAGGGUGAUCGGCCACACUGGAACUGAGGCACGGUCCAGACUCCUACGGGAGGCAGCAGGC
Molecule: ribosomal RNA, 279 nt
Filed under: uncultured Staphylococcus sp.
Lineage: Bacteria; Bacillati; Bacillota; Bacilli; Caryophanales; Staphylococcaceae
Description: partial 16S ribosomal RNA
Rfam family: Bacterial small subunit ribosomal RNA
Source: RNAcentral